Molecule: small nuclear RNA, 89 nt
Organism: Hyposmocoma kahamanoa
Lineage: Eukaryota; Metazoa; Arthropoda; Insecta; Lepidoptera; Cosmopterigidae
Source: RefSeq, a predicted model, not a curated record
GUGUCUAUUGAAAGGAGAGACGGUUAGCACUCCCCUUGACAAGGAUGGAACACAAUAAAAUGGUCGAGGCACCUUGACCAACAUUUUUU